RNA transcript from Camellia sinensis, 2593 nucleotides. RefSeq lists it as uncharacterized. The record is from RefSeq and is a predicted model, not a curated record. NCBI's taxonomy places the organism in Eukaryota, Viridiplantae, Streptophyta, Magnoliopsida, Ericales, Theaceae.
GAACAUAAGUCUUCCGAGAAGUUGAGAUGAGAUCGAGGGUUUAAAGAAAAACAAACAGUGUCCGUCACUAAGCCCUGGCUUUCUCUUUCUAACCUGAGUUCACUGGUUUCUCUCCUUCUCCUCUUACCACCCUCCAACUCUCAUCUUCUCUUCAUCCAACACCAUCAAUGCUCUAUGUAAAUUAAGGCUCUUUCCAUAUCAGAGGUCAGUAAACCCUAAUCUUUUUUCAUGAUUUGCUUGGAGACGCUGCUACUUUUCAUUUGAUCACCAAAAUUACACUUGAAAAAAAUCUGUGGGUAAUCCAAUUUCAUUGAAAUUAAGGUGUGUUUGGUUUGUAUCAAUGAAAGAGUUGAAUUCAACAAUGGAUCCAAUUGGGCAAAACCUAAUAAAGCUGAUUACGAAUGUGUGUUUCUCAGUCUUUGUAUUCUCGGUGCUCAUAUUUACAGUAAUUGCCAUCACAUACCAACCUCCCGAUCCAUGGGAAUCUUCUAGAGCCCUCACUAGAGUUUUUACCCAAUUCGAAAACGCCACCUUCCAAACCGACACUACUCUCCUUAAAACUGGUGAAGACCUUGCUACUUCCGCCGCCCCACCUGCCAACGUCAACCCUAACGCUGUUACCGAAUCGAUCAUUGAGAAAUCCGAGGCCCAAUUGACUAAUCUGACGUUGAAAUCAGGUUGUGAGGAUAUCUCUGCAGUGAAUUGUUCCGAUCCUCAGGUUUUGAUUGCCAUUGAAAGGUUUAAUUUGAAGGCUUUGAAGUCAAUUGUGUUUCUGGAGUAUCAAACACCGGUCAGUGGGUUGAGACUUGAUGAGUGCGAUGUGGCGUGGAGAUUUAGGAACAAAAAGGAAAAGUCUUGGAGGAAGUACAGGGAUUUUCGGAGGUUUAGGAUUGGGUAUCGUGAAAAUUGUACUUAUAAGGUGCUUAAUGCGAAGGGUUGGCACUCGGGUACAAAUGCCCGCAGGCCAAGGACUACAGUUAAUAAUGCAAAUAGGAGUGGUGAGAAUGCUAAAGUCGCUCCUCCAUUUCAUGACGAUGAGAUCAAUGACACAAUCCCUGUGUUGGGUUCAGAUAUGGCCUUUAGGCAGGGGAAGUAUUUGUACUAUUCACGCGGAGGGGAUUAUUGUAAAGGCAUGAAUCAUUACCUUUGGAGCUUCUUGUGUGCCCUUGGGGAGGCUCAGUAUUUGAAUAGAACAUUUGUGGUGGAUUUGAGUAUUUGCUUGUCGGCAGCAUAUACUGCUGGUAAUAAGGAUGAGGAAGGAAAGGAUUUUAGGUUUUAUUUUGAUUUUGAGCAUUUGAAAGAGGUGGGCUCAAUUGUGGAGGAGGGUGAAUUCCAUAGAGAUUGGAAAAAUUGGGAUAAGACGCACAAAAAGAAAAUUCCUGUCAAAAAGGUUGCUAGCUAUAAGGUCACACCAAUGCAGCUUAGGAAAGAUAAAAGCACGAUUAUUUGGAGGCAAUUUGAUGCUCCCGAGCCAGAAAACUAUUGGUACAGAGUUUGUGAAGGCCAAGCUGCAAAGUACGUUCAGAGACCAUGGCACGCACUGUGGAAAUCAAAGAGACUGAUGAAUAUAGUUUCUGACAUUAGUGGUCAUAUGGACUGGGAUUUUGAUGCAGUUCAUGUAGUUAGAGGAGAUAAAGCACAGAAUAAGGAGCUGUGGCCCCAUUUAGAUGAUGAUACAUCCCCGGAUGCCCUCGUUACAAAGCUUCAAGGGAUGAUUCAACCUCAUAGGAAUUUGUAUGUUGCCACCAAUGAACCAUUCUAUAAUUACUUUGAUAAAUUGAGGUCUCAUUACAACGUUCAUUUGCUUGAUGAUUACAAGGAAUUGUGGGGAAAUACAAGUGAGUGGUACAAUGAGAUGAGGCUUUUGAAUGGUGGUCGCCCUGUUGAUUUUGAUGGAUAUAUGAGAGUUGAAGUAGACACUGAGGUUCUUUACAGGGCAAAGACACAGGUGGAGACAUUCUAUAACUUGACCGAUGAUUGCAAAGAUGGGAUUAGUACGUGCUGACCAGGCAUUAUUUUCCGGAAGUUUACACUGGAUUUCCAUGAACCAAGUCUUGUCUCCCAUUUUGUCAAAUUCCUCUGUGCUUGUCAUCAGGGCAGCUUUUUGUUGGUCCAACAAAACUUUUGACCUGGUUGAUGGAUCUACAUGAUAAUAUGUACUCAUUGAGAUAAAAUGAGAUGGAAAAAUCAUCAACAAGGAAGUGCUGCUUCUGUCCCUUCACUAGGAGACUAUCAACAUUUGCCUUCUCUUCAUAUAAGAUGCAACACCUCUGUUCUGUUUGUAUAUUUCUCCCCCAGAUCCUAUGAAGUGACUUGUGUCUGGCAUCCAUUCACAGUUAGGUUCAAUGUUAUCUUCUAAUUCAGAUGUCAUACUUCUUUUUUUUAUUAUUGAUAUGUCAGAAGUCAUAUUAGCAGCCAACAAAAUCAGUUUCUACCUUCUUAAAUGGGUAGGGUAUUCUUAUUUUGCACACUCUUGGUCUCUGAACUUUGUAAGGAAUGUAUGAAAAACCCUUGCACUGGAAUAAAAGGAUUGAAACUGCAAUCAACUCUCAUAAAGUUGUGGUUUUAGGCCGGCAAAGGGCUGGUUCUGCUA